Molecule: small nucleolar RNA, 207 nt
Filed under: Castor canadensis (American beaver)
Lineage: Eukaryota; Metazoa; Chordata; Mammalia; Rodentia; Castoridae
Description: Small nucleolar RNA U3 (ENSCCNG00000028036.1)
Rfam family: Small nucleolar RNA U3
About the family: Small nucleolar RNAs (snoRNAs) are involved in the processing and modification of rRNA in the nucleolus. There are two main classes of snoRNAs: the box C/D class, and the box H/ACA class.
Source: Rfam by way of RNAcentral
AAGACUGUAUUUUCAGGGAUCAUUUCUAUAGUUGAGUACUAGAGAAGUUUCUCUGAUCGUGUAGAGUGCCAAAAACCACGAGGAGACAUAACAUUCUCACCUGAGUGUGAAGCUGGCUAUUGGUGCUGCUGUGUUGCUGCUGCCAUUUGCCAUUGAUGAUUGUUCUUCUUCAGAGGAGCAAGAGGGUGAGGACGUCAUCUGAGUGGU